GCCCUGGUGGCACAGUGGAUAGCGCGGUCCCCUCCUAAGGGACAGGUCACAGGUUCGACUCCUGUCUAGGGCACCA
RNAcentral lists this transfer RNA (76 nucleotides) under Gammaproteobacteria bacterium. RNAcentral's name for it is "tRNA-Arg". It matches the Rfam family "tRNA". Rfam says of the family: Transfer RNA (tRNA) molecules are approximately 80 nucleotides in length. Lineage: Bacteria; Pseudomonadati; Pseudomonadota; Gammaproteobacteria. The record is from RNAcentral.